RNAcentral lists this ribosomal RNA (1674 nucleotides) under Candidatus Nealsonbacteria bacterium CG10_big_fil_rev_8_21_14_0_10_36_23. Its description in RNAcentral is "bacterial SSU rRNA". It matches the Rfam family "Bacterial small subunit ribosomal RNA", at positions 94 to 1394 of the family's 1533-position model. The record is from RNAcentral. Lineage: Bacteria; Candidatus Nealsoniibacteriota.
AGUGGCGAACGGGUUAGUAACACGUAGAUAACCUUCCCCGAGGACAGGCAUAGCCCGGAGAAAUCCGGGGUAAUUCCUGAUAAAAAUGAGGGGACGUAAGUCAUUCUCAUUUAAACUCGCAAGAGACCUCGGGAUGGGUCUGCGGCUUAUCAGCUAGUUGGUGGGGUAAUGGCCUACCAAGGCGAUGACGGGUAGGGGAUGUGAGAGCAUGUUCCCCAACACUAGCACUGCGACACGGGCUAGACUCCUACGGGAGGCAGCAGUCGAGAAUAUUUCGCAAUGGGCGAAAGCCUGACGAAGCGACGCCGCGUGAGCGAAGAAGGACUUCGGUCUGUAAAGCUCUUUUGCCGCCGAACAAGCCGCAAGGCUGAGCUUAGGCGGCGAAUAAGGGGGUGCAAAUUCUGUGCCAGCAGCCGCGGUAAGACAGAACCCCCAAGCAUUAUCCGGAUUUAUUGGGCGUAAAGCGUCCGUAGGCGGUCAGGAAAGUCUUAAGUUAAACACCUUGGGCUUAACCUAAGGGAUGCUUGAGAUACUACUUGGCUUGAGGGCGUUAGGGGCUGAUGGAACGGUCGGUGUAGGGGUGAAAUCCGUUGAUAUCGACCGGAACACCAAAAGCGAAGGCAUUCAGCUGGGGCGACCCUGACGCUGAAGGACGAAAGCGUGGGGAGCAAAAAGGAUUAGAUACAAGCCAGUGCUUCGCACUGGCACGCGGAUACGCGCGGAUUAGCGACUGCUUCGCAGUCGUAACGCGGAUAUACGCGGAUAAGUGUUUCUUACACCGGUAACGGUGUAUUGUAACUCGGCCAUAUGCGGGAAACUCCUAUUGUUUAAGACUUAAUCUUGGACAAGGACAAUCCGCAGGAAACCCAAAAGGGGAUCCUCAGAGACUGUACGCCGAGCCCCCUGAAUUUAUCAAAGGGGUGAAGAUAUAGUCCGGCCUCAUAGGUAACUAUGAGAUUCCAGAAGAAAUUCUGGGGCGCAGUCCGAAUGUAAAAAUUUUUAAUUUUGAAUUGUAAUUUUGCAUUUUAAUUUUUGAAUUUUGCAUUCGGCUGUUACAAAGUAACAGACGCGACCCUUGUAGUCCACGCUGUAAACGAUGGACACUGGCUAUUCGAAGUGUCGACCCUUCGGGUGGCGAAGCUAACGCGUUAAGUGUCCCGCCUGGGAAGUACGACGGCAACGUUAAAACUCAAAGGAAUAGACGGGGACUCACACAAGCGGUGGACCAUGUGGCUUAAUUCGACAACAAGCGAGGAACCUUACCAGGGCUCGACAGGCUAGUGAAAGUCUUGAGAAAUCAGGAUGUACCCACAAGGACACUAGUCCAGGUGCUGCAUGGUUGUCGUCAGCUCGUGUCUUGAGAUGUACGCUUAAGUGCGGUAACGAGCGCAACCCUUACCCUGUGUUUUAAUUGUCACAGGGGACUGCCUCGGAUAACGGGGAGGAAGGCGAGGAUGACGCCAAAUCAGCAUGGCCCUUUGAUGCCCUGGGCUGCACACGUGGUACAAUGGGGCCGACAAUGGGUCGCUAAGGAGAAAUCCGGAGCUAACCCCAUCAAACGGCCUCUUAGUUCGGAUUGAGGUCUGAAACCCGACCUCAUGAAGCCGGAAUCGCUAGUAAUCGCCAAUCAGCCAUGUGGCGAUGAAUAUGUUCCUGAGUCUUGUACUCACCGCC